ACGUAUUAAUUCAACUUUUGUCCAACGGAGCAUUGUUGCGAGUUUUCUGCGACCGUUGGAAGUGUUUGUGGAUUUCGGACAACUUUCGAAUAAUUAUUAGUGUUUAUUGCAAAGAAAACUAUUUAAAGUAGUUUUUUAACUAUCUACAAUGGUUCGCCAGUGCAUAGUUUGUUAAAGGUGGACUAUUCUAACUCCUGAUUGAUAUUUGGACGUUUUGGAACCCUUUACACUUUUACCCACACUUACCUAAACACCCACACACACACAAUUCACAGGCGAGUACAUAUCUGGUGUUUUAAAUAGAGGAAAAUAAACCUUGGAAAAUUUUUCCUUUAGCGUUCCUAUAAAUACUGAGCUUAGACAAUGAUCGAUUUCACUCUUGAAUUUGAAAAAUCAAACUAACGUGUGUCCAAAUUUGUUCUGAUGAUUUUGAUAAGAGCAAUAUUAUGAUCGCCGAAUUAACUGAUCGAAGGCAAAUAAGACCAAAUUCUGAGCCUCAAAUAGAUAGUACCAUUUUUGCUGGGGCUUUAUCAUACAGGUUUUCUUCUAGUUUGUACCGCCACCCAAAAAAUGUUUUAGGUAAAUGAACCUCCAGACCAGCUGAGGGACUAGAGAAGGUCCCUACCUAGUCCCGCGAUUGGCAGUUUGGCUGGCCCCUCAAAUUUGAUUUUGCCUAAAAUCAUACAAGAUAAACUAGCCCUUCUCAAGAAGCCCUUCCCUCAAAACAACAGAAACGGCAUUGGAAAAAGAAGUUGGAAUUAACCAGUAUGUGCUCUUUCAUAGUAAGACAAUCCUCAUCUUCUGAUCUCUCAAUAGUUGGAUAUUUAUUAUCUCAAGAAAGUCGUCAAAGUAUCAGAAAAAGAAAGAAGUAUGUUAAUGAGGCAUUAUAAUGAUAUUAUGUAGAAAUUUAAGUCUUGUAAAAAUUUGGAAA
Molecule: long non-coding RNA, 931 nt
Organism: Sitophilus oryzae (rice weevil)
Lineage: Eukaryota; Metazoa; Arthropoda; Insecta; Coleoptera; Curculionidae
Exons: 7
Source: RefSeq, a predicted model, not a curated record